GACGAACGCUGGUGGCGUGCUUAACACAUGCAAGUCGAACGGAAAGGCCCUGCUUUUGUGGGGUGCUCGAGUGGCGAACGGGUGAGUAACACGUGAGUAACCUGCCCUUGACUUUGGGAUAACUUCAGGAAACUGGGGCUAAUACCGGAUAGGAGCUCCUGCUGCAUGGUGGGGGUUGGAAAGUUUCGGCGGUUGGGGAUGGACUCGCGGCUUAUCAGCUUGUUGGUGGGGUAGUGGCUUACCAAGGCUUUGACGGGUAGCCGGCCUGAGAGGGUGACCGGCCACAUUGGGACUGAGAUACGGCCCAGACUCCUACGGGAGGCAGCAGUGGGGAAUAUUGCACAAUGGGCGGAAGCCUGAUGCAGCAACGCCGCGUGCGGGAUGACGGCCUUCGGGUUGUAAACCGCUUUCGCCUGUGACGAAGCGUGAGUGACGGUAAUGGGUAAAGAAGCACCGGCUAACUACGUGCCAGCAGCCGCGGUGAUACGUAGGGUGCGAGCGUUGUCCGGAUUUAUUGGGCGUAAAGGGCUCGUAGGUGGUUGAUCGCGUCGGAAGUGUAAUCUUGGGGCUUAACCCUGAGCGUGCUUUCGAUACGGGUUGACUUGAGGAAGGUAGGGGAGAAUGGAAUUCUUGGUGGAGCGGUGGAAUGCGCAGAUAUCAGGAGGAACACCAGUGGCGAAGGCGGUUCUCUGGGCCUUUCCUGACGCUGAGGAGCGAAAGCGUGGGGAGCGAACAGGCUUAGAUACCCUGGUAGUCCACGCUGUAAACGGUGGGUACUAGGUGUGGGGUCCAUUCCACGGGUUCCGUGCCGUAGCUAACGCUUUAAGUACCCCGCCUGGGGAGUACGGCCGCAAGGCUAAAACUCAAAGGAAUUGACGGGGCCCCGCACAAGCGGCGGAGCAUGCGGAUUAAUUCGAUGCAACGCGUAGAACCUUACCUGGGUUUGACAUGGAUCGGGAGUGCUCAGAGAUGGGUGUGCCUCUUUUGGGGUCGGUUCACAGGUGGUGCAUGGCUGUCGUCAGCUCGUGUCGUGAGAUGUUGGGUUAAGUCCCGCAACGAGCGCAACCCUUGUUCACUGUUGCCAGCACGUUAUGGUGGGGACUCAGUGGAGACCGCCGGGGUCAACUCGGAGGAAGGUGGGGAUGACGUCAAGUCAUCAUGCCCCUUAUGUCCAGGGCUUCACGCAUGCUACAAUGGCUGGUACAGAGAGUGGCGAGCCUGUGAGGGUGAGCGAAUCUCGGAAAGCCGGUCUCAGUUCGGAUUGGGGUCUGCAACUCGACCUCAUGAAGUCGGAGUCGCUAGUAAUCGCAGAUCAGCAACGCUGCGGUGAAUACGUUCCCGGGGCU
Molecule: ribosomal RNA, 1346 nt
Filed under: uncultured bacterium
Lineage: Bacteria
Description: partial 16S ribosomal RNA
Rfam family: Bacterial small subunit ribosomal RNA
Source: RNAcentral